RNAcentral lists this unclassified non-coding RNA (167 nucleotides) under uncultured Helotiales. RNAcentral describes it as "sequence contains ITS1". The record is from RNAcentral. Lineage: Eukaryota; Fungi; Ascomycota; Leotiomycetes; Helotiales.
CAGAGAACCUACCCUUAGGGUAGAUCCUCCCAACCUUUGUCUACUCUACCAUUGUUGCCUUGGCGGGCCCGUCGUAUGACCACCGGCUUCAGCUGGUCAGUGCCUGCCAGAGGACACUCCUAAUUCUUUGAUUUUUGGUGUUGUCUGAUCAUUAUAUAUAAUCGUUA